RNAcentral lists this ribosomal RNA (466 nucleotides) under uncultured bacterium. Its description in RNAcentral is "partial 16S ribosomal RNA". It matches the Rfam family "Bacterial small subunit ribosomal RNA", at positions 28 to 507 of the family's 1533-position model. The record is from RNAcentral.
GAUGAACGCUGGCGGCGUGCUUAACACAUGCAAGUCGAACGAUAAAGCCCUGCUUGCUUGGUGUUUUAGUGGCGAACGGGUGAGUAACACGUGAGUAUCCCGCCCUCUACUCUUUGAUAUGCCUUGAAGACUGUGUCUCUUACUUCAUAUCACUUCUCGUCUCAUGUUGGGGGGUGGAGAGAUUUUUUGGUCUUGGAUGGACUCGCGGCCUAUCAGCUUUUUGGUGGGGUAAUGGCUCACCAAGGCGACGACGGGUAGCCGGCCUGAGAGGGUGACCGGCCACAAUGGGACUGAGACACGGCCCAGACUCCUACGGGAGGCAGCAGUGGGGAAUAUUGCACAAUGGGUGCAAGCCUGAUGCAGCGACGCCGCGUGAGGGAUGACGGCCUUCGGGUUGUAAACCGCUUUCGGUAGGGAAGAAGCGAGAGUGACGGUACCUGCAGAAGAAGCGCCGGCUAACUACGUG